Molecule: non-coding RNA, 24 nt
Filed under: Arabidopsis thaliana (thale cress)
Lineage: Eukaryota; Viridiplantae; Streptophyta; Magnoliopsida; Brassicales; Brassicaceae
Source: RNAcentral
CCCACGAGCCUCGCAUAGACCACC